RNAcentral lists this long non-coding RNA (3348 nucleotides) under Sus scrofa (pig). RNAcentral describes it as "lncRNA (ENSSSCG00000063074.1)". Lineage: Eukaryota; Metazoa; Chordata; Mammalia; Artiodactyla; Suidae. The record is from RNAcentral.
AACCAACCUUAGAUUCAUAGUUCAUUAAGAGAGAGAGAGAGACCAAAGUUAUAGUGAAGAUUUUAAAAAGAUCAGAUUAAAUUCUGCUGGUGUUCUCAUUGACUUGAAAUACUGUGUGACAGGACUCAGUGCCAAGUCACCUUUAGCAAUUGCUUUUUUCCUCACCCGUGCUCAGUUUCUAUUGCCAUCAGUAGGGGUAAUAAAAGGCAAUAAAAGCAAGAGGCAAAAACAAUAAAAGGACAGUAGUGUUGCUUGAGUUUUCAAAUGACUCAUAGGUCCUUGUUUUUGGUCUUUCCAUGAAUAUGCAUGAUAUUUACUUUUCCUUGCCAAGUCACCUGAUUUCUCAAGUCCUCGUUUAGGAAAUGUGAUAGAUAGGAAGGUAUGGCAUUGACUCUCAGAGAACUGUGUUUGUUACAAGUGCCUUUUGUUUUAUUUUUACUGUACAAAGUGCCAUGUAAUUUCAAGACCUGAUUAUUUAUACUCCAAGGCUAAAGAAGGUAAGGAUUAGUCCCUCUAUUUUUUUAUUCCUAUUUUUCCUAGGCAUUUCUGCUUUGCUAAACUUUUAGAUUCCAAGAUAUUAUUUGCCAAAUCAGUGAUCUACAUUUUGAUGUCUCAUGUACAAAUACUAAUCUCUUUAGAAUAACUGAAAAUGUUCAAUGUUUUAAGGAUUUUAAAUAAUACAUCAUUGUGAUGAAUUUGAGAAAUCAUUCCUUUCCGAAGAAGACUUUGCUAAAAGCAUUGAGUACCUGAAAAGUAAAUGAACAAAAUUACCCUAAAUUCAUGCUAUAUAUGUGUGUAUUUUAUGUACAAUUUUUUAUACACGUAUUCCUUGCUUAACCAUCACAGCAAUAUAUGUGAACGAGACUUCAGUGCCCCCAUUUUGCAAAUGAGAAGUCUGAGACAGAAUUAGUAAGUAGCUUUUCUUCUACCCCAGCUGGUAAACAGAACCAGAAUUUGAAGCCAGGUCUGCAAGUUCCAAAAUCUACAUACUUAAACCCUAUACUCUACUCUUUCCUUUUUCAUUUGUUUAUUAAUAAUAAUAAUAAAACAUUUUAAAAUCUACUUUUUAUAUUAUGGAAAAGAGACGUGCCUAAAGCCCUCAUUCUUUCUAGUCUCUAAUCCAAAUCCUAAUAAGUGAGGUCAUGCUUCCCAAACUAAAGCUGAAACUUUUGUGAAAUUCGGUGCAAGUUCUUUAAUUAAACUAGCAGAUUCAUGAAUGCACAAUAUAAGAAUUCAAAGAAAAAAAAAGACACUGGCACACUUAUACCAUCUGGACAAAGAGCCAUAGUCUGAAAACCUAUUUGUGUAGAAAAAAUUGAAUCCUAGCUCUCAAAUGCUCUAUUUCAGAGCCCAUGUUAAAAUACCUUAAAAAGAACAUUUUUGGAGAAAAUAUUAGUAACUUAGUGUUAGAAAUACAGUAAUAAAGAAUGAAUUACAUUUGCUUUGUAGAUCUUUCUUCUUUUUUUCCCCUUAAUCAUCCAUUACUGUUAUCUGCUGGUAAUAAUAAAAACGACAUUGUCUUAUCUUGGAUUUUGAGGAUUUCUUAGUAUUAAGUCAUUGUUACUAGAUGAAAGGAAGUUGAGUGCUUAGAACUUAAGAGACUUACUCAAGAUUACAACAGUGGGUCAUUUACUUAGCCAAAAAGGGAGCAAGAAACUUCCAGGUUGUAAGUGUUUUUUGCUGGUGACUCAAUCUGCCUUUUCUCUGUUGCUUCCCCUUCAAACCCAAGGACUUCAAGUGCAGGAUGAGUGGGCUUGUUCUUCAGUGUGACUAUUACUGCUGUUCUCUGACGAGACACCAACUUGAAUUAGGAUUUGUCUCUGGAAAACAAAGCUGUUGCAGUUCAGUCAGUCUAGAGUCAAGCAGGCAUAAGGAAUGAGACAGCAUGACUCAUUGACCUCUUAUUUUGAAAUGUAGUUUAUACUCACUAGGUAUCUACCUGGUAUGUUGUAAUAUUUCAGGGGAAGCACUGUUAGCCUGACUCAUAAGUAUCACUCUUCACUGGACAUGAGUGAUUUCUAGAAUUUAUUUCUCAUGAAAAAGAUUUUAUAUGUAAUGCUAUAGCACUUAGAAAUUAAUUUUAGGUGUUCCUGCUAUGGCGCAAUAAGUUAAGAAUCCAACUGCAAUGGCUCAGGUCACCGUGGAAGUGCAGAUUCGAUCCCUGGCCUGGCGCAGUGGGUUAGAGGAUCCAACGUUGCCAUGGCUGCUGCAUAGGUCACAGCUGGGGCUCAGAUUCAUUCCCUGGCCUGGGAGCUUCCAUAUACUAUGGGUGCAACCAUUAAAAAGGAAGGAAAGAAGGAUGGAAGGAAGAGAGGAAGAGAGAGAGGAAGGAAGGAAGGGAAAGUUUUAUGUAUGUAUUGAUCAUUCUAAAUUAUCAAGUUAAUUCUUCUUUAUGUCUAUUCCCAAUUCUAAACUAUUACCGUUUUAUUUCCUAUACUGCAGUUGUCUCCACUACCAUUUUUCUCAUGAGCUUUGAUUACAUAAAAUUUGCCUUAUUGACCUAUACUUUGACAUCUUUUGUGAAACAAGUCAGAAAUUAUUCCGAUUGGACUGGAACAACUGGAACAUUUCAUCUUCCUUUAAGUAUUGCCUUUUUCUUCUCCCUGUAGGGCCCCCAUGGAUAGACAAUAUUGCUAAUUUAAUUUUAAACUUUUAAUUACAUUUUCUAAAUUCUUCUGAUCACUUCCUACCUUCCUUAUGUAAUAAUGGUCAUUGCACAUGAGAAUACAUGCUCUCAGUCGAGCAAUGUGAUUUCAGUUCCUAUGUCCAGGUCAUAUGAUAAUCCUCAAAGCUGUUGCAACAUCCACUAGUCAUUCCUGGAAUGUACUUCCUCCUCCUCCUCAAAUACGUCUCUUGUCUCUGUUAAAAAAUGCUAUUAAAUUCCCUUCUGUGGAUUUCUUACCUGCCCACAAUACUUUCUGAAUUUAUUGUCUUCAGAGAGUAGAAAAUAGAAAUAAGACUAAGAGAAGAGGGUGUGUUCAUUAUAGCCCUGAUCAUCCCUUUCCAUAAGCAAUCCAGGAAAACAUCCACAUUCUUCCAACCAUAUAUGCCAGCUUUCCUGCUUCUGUAAUGUUAUAUUUUCCUUCUUUCCUAUUAUAACAGAUUAAUUAUCCAUGAUCUUGUUUAGAGUCAAACCUUCCACUUGUGCACUGGAUUCUCUCUAACGGCUUGACUUCAUUCAGGUUUGCUGCUUCGUUGUCAUUAAAAAGACCUCUAAGAACUUAAAUUAGCAGCUCUCCCACACCAUUGCCUUCUGUCUCCUCAGCCAGUUUUACUUUUCUUCGAGGCAAGUAUCAUUACCUGAAAUGAUAUUAUACAUUUUCUCAUCUCCUUCCACUUAGAACAGAG